AACGUCACAAUCUACUAGCAGUAGUUUGUGGUUACUUGCAAACAAAGAAAGGUAUUUCCCCGAGCAUAUCGGCGAUUUUUCUACCCAAAAAGUUUCAUAGAUUUUAUCUGUGAAAUAUUGGCAUCAACUGGAAUUUACUUUUUCAAGACAGACAGCAUAUCAGUAUAAAAACAUGUUCCCCGGAUUCUCGUUGAUGAUAAUGGGAGUGUUCGAAUUACGGAAAUGGUGGGGAAAGAAAAAUUUUAAAAGACAUGAAAAACGUCACAUCAUAAACCCGGAAGAUUUGGGUACUGAUGUAGAUACGGGACUGAAAGAAGAGGAGUUAAAUAGAUUGGUAUCUAAUGAAAUUGACAAUUUGAUUGGCAUUAUCCAAUCUUCAAUGUAGAUGUUGCUUAAUGUAUUACGUUUUAAAUUAAAUUCAUUUUAUAAAAAACAAA
Saccostrea cuccullata (small rock oyster) is the source of this 437-nucleotide long non-coding RNA. RefSeq lists it as uncharacterized. The transcript has 3 exons. The record is from RefSeq and is a predicted model, not a curated record. Lineage: Eukaryota; Metazoa; Mollusca; Bivalvia; Ostreida; Ostreidae.